AUUAAGCUCAGAUAUUGAUAAAAUUAAAAAAAAAUAAAAUAAAUAAAAAUCCUUUAUUUUGACCAUAAAUUGAUCAUAAUUGUUAGUAAUAACACACACCUUAAAACUAAUGUUAGUGAUCUUAUAACUAUUUACCUAAUCCUAAUACUAUAUCUAAGACUGAUUGCGCCAGUUAUGGUAUAUUAUUUUAUGGCAGUAGUAUUUUAAUCGAAAUGGACUGUAUUAUUAAAUCGAGGUGACGCGGGUGCUAAAUACAAACGGUAGGUUUCUGAAACGAAGGAAAGCAGCAAUUAACCUUUGAGACAGUCAAAUUCUUUCUGCAAUUUCUUCUUGUCUGCAAAUGGCGCUGUUUCUUCUUCUUAAGUUCCUUGUCUCCAAAAGCUCGACGCAGAAUCACUUCACCUUUGUUAUUCGGCACAAUCAUAUAGAAAGUUUUAUGAGGGUCCCAAGACUUCCGCAAUGAACACACUCGAGAAUACGUUAAUUUAAAUUAUUUUAUAAAGUUUCGAGCACGACACUUGCGUCCUUGAUUUUUGCGAAGUGUGUGGCCAUUGUUGUAGCUUUUUUAAUUUAGUCCAUUGUUAUGUCAA
Long non-coding RNA from Maniola jurtina (meadow brown), 590 nucleotides. RefSeq lists it as uncharacterized. The transcript has 4 exons. The record is from RefSeq and is a predicted model, not a curated record. NCBI's taxonomy places the organism in Eukaryota, Metazoa, Arthropoda, Insecta, Lepidoptera, Nymphalidae.